Saccostrea echinata is the source of this 678-nucleotide long non-coding RNA. RefSeq lists it as uncharacterized. The transcript is spliced from 2 exons. The record is from RefSeq and is a predicted model, not a curated record. Lineage: Eukaryota; Metazoa; Mollusca; Bivalvia; Ostreida; Ostreidae.
UUUAUAGAUGGCAAGUGUUGCUUAGACCUAAAGUAUUCUUUAAUUGUGAAGAAAACAAACAUAAGGGUGUUCGGCAAUUCAUAACUAUUAACUGUGAUUGCAUUGUGUAUUUUUAAAAUCAUUCUUUGGUAUGCUUCAAACUCAAAAGUAUUUAUGAAAACAUUGACUAUAUUUAUCCAGAUGUAUGAAAUGUUUAUCAAAGUAUAAAUUCCAUUUUAGCAUGUUAUCUUCAAAAUGAGGGACCUGUCAACUUUUACAAUUCCAAGAUCAGGAAAUAAUUCAUGAGCAGCAACAUGCUACUGGGAGAAAGGAAAACAGUAGAAGACUGCCUGCAUGAGAAUAAAAGUUUUGGACUCUGAAAAGGAAUAUGUGACAGAAUAUAUAUUUGGACAGUUGUUGAUUUCCACAGAAACGCAUGUCGAGUAACAAAAAAGUGGAGCACAGUUUCAUGUCAAUUCAAAUCUUUAAAUUCAAGGAUGAACAAUUGGUUCUUUAUAAAACAAAAUGACAUGUUUGAAAAGGAUUUUAGUGCAAUGUACUCUGUCCUGGAUACUUAUCUAUGUGUAUGGGAUUUGCAGGAUAGACUAUGUACAACAGAUACUGUCAAGAAAUUUGAUGUUGUUGAUUAUAUGUUUGUAUAAAAAUGUUUAGUAUAGUAAUAAACAAAGUUUAAGUCAA